RNAcentral lists this ribosomal RNA (522 nucleotides) under uncultured Planctomycetota bacterium. RNAcentral describes it as "bacterial SSU rRNA". It matches the Rfam family "Bacterial small subunit ribosomal RNA", at positions 1 to 523 of the family's 1533-position model. The record is from RNAcentral. Lineage: Bacteria; Pseudomonadati; Planctomycetota.
UGAGUUUGAUCAUGGCUCAGAAUGAACGUUGGCGGCGUGGAUUAGGCCUGCAAGUCGAACGAGAAGUCUCCUUCGGGAGGCGGAAAGUCGUAAACGGGGUAGGAGUGCGUAGGUGACGUACCCCUGGGACUGGGAUAGCCACGGGAAACUGUGGGUAAUACCAGAUAAUCUCUUCAGACGUGGUCGUUUGGGGAGCAAAGGUGAGAUUCCACCUGGGGAGCGGCUUGCGUAGUAUUAGCUUGUUGGUGAGGUAACGGCUCACCAAGGCGACGAUGCUUAGGGGGUGUUAGCGCAUGACCCCCACCACUGGGACUGAGAUACUGCCCAGACACCUACGGGUGGCUGCAGUCGAGGAUCUUCGGCAAUGGGCGCAAGCCUGACCGAGCGAUUUUUUUGUGUGGGAUGAAGGCCCUUGGGUUGUAAACCACUGUCAGAGGGGAUGAAAUGCCGGAGGGUAAUCUCUCCGGUUUGACAUAGCCUCAGAGGAAGCACGGGCUAAGUUCGUGCCAGCAGCCGCGGUAA